Dromaius novaehollandiae (emu) is the source of this 2511-nucleotide long non-coding RNA. RefSeq lists it as uncharacterized. NCBI's taxonomy places the organism in Eukaryota, Metazoa, Chordata, Aves, Casuariiformes, Dromaiidae. The record is from RefSeq and is a predicted model, not a curated record. The transcript is spliced from 4 exons.
UUUGCUGUAGCACGGUCCCUUUGCCAAGAGAAAUGGCUCCGCUGGAGAGAGAAGUGAAGCCACACCUGCUGCAAGUGGCAGCGAGAAAAGGAGCUCAGAGGGCUGGGGGAGAGGGACCGAGAGAAAUCCUCUUCGCGGCCCCUUGCCUGGAGAUGAGCCGGUCACUGCUGGCGCAGGAGGGGAGCACAGCUCUCUGCUCCCCUCGUGAGCAGCCACCUUGCAGCGGAGAAGCGAGGUUUGUCCCACUGCAUAUUCAGCCUGUGGCCAGCAAGGUCCAGCGGAGCGGUCGGAUGCGGCGUGCCUGAAGCUGAGCUUUCCCCCUUGGGUGCUGCAAUCCGGCUUUCGGCUCCAGCUAACUUCCAGGACUUGAGAGGGAUAUUUCCACCAGACCUCCCACGAAGAAGAAGAUACUGUCCCUUCCCUAACUUAGCCAGUCGUAAGGCAAAUGUCUUCAGACUGCCUCCAAGGCAAAGGCAAAACAUCUCCAUGCGCUGCCAGGGGUAAUGAGGACUAUUGGGUGAACCUAGUUUUACAUCAGAAGAUCAGGGCCAUCUUUCAGCCGAACGCUGCUGCUCUGAAAGACCUCCGAGCCAGUGUGUUGGAGACACACCAACAAGAAAGGCAACGCCAAUGGCAAAAACAGUGCCCAAACCAAACAACUGAAGUAAAAGAAGCCUUUAUGAAAAACUCAGGAAAUGUCACAUCAAACUAUUGGCAAAUGGGAAAAAACUUUGAAUGCUGAAACAGUGUGGUUGGAGAGAGCUUUCUGUGCGCAGGUGCGUGCUCAGCAUUGGCAAAUAUUGUUGCAUACCUCCUUGUUUUGCUGUUAUUUCUCUGGCUGUCUGCAAACAGAUGCCUAUAGUAAGAGCCAACCAGCUUCAGAAAGGGUUUUGUCUUCUGCCAGUGCUCUAUACAGCAGAGGCACCUGGGGAAGCCAGGAGCUAGUGGAGGAAGGAGAGGGCAGCAAUCUGCCUCCCCUUACUUCUUCCAGGCUCCCUGGUCCUCUUCAUCGCACCUGCCCCGUGGAUUGUAUGCUCACCACGGGAUGUCAUGUGGUCGGGGGGAAAGAGGAGAUGUAGGGAAGGGGCUCUGUGGGACGCUCCUGUCCCACCUCUGCAUUUCCAUGACAAGCCGGGAGUUAGCAUCACGUCUCCUGGCAGGGGACUUCUUUCUGCCUUUCUCAGUUGCAUUCAGGCUUCCUCGCGCUCUGCAUUUUUGUCCUCUGAAAGUGGUUGCAGGGUUUUGCAAGACAUGAUGGAGGUAUCGCUUUUAGCCAGCUUUUUCACAUGCAGGCAGUCUGUGCAUACACCUGUCUCUGCAUCCUCUCCCAAUCGGCUUUUAUCCAGCGUCAGCCAGAUCUGAUAGACAUCCCUCUGAGGAUGAUAAAUCGAAGGGUGGGUACAGCGAUGCCACGUGGGAAGGCCUAAGGCUGCCGCGAGCGGCCACGUUGUGCUGCUCCAGAGCAGCCGGUUGCGUUACCCGGUUGCAGCAGCUAUGGCUGGAGGCUUCAGAAGGGCGGAUCAGCUCUGAACGCUCCUGCCAAUUAUUUCUCUAACCUGUUCCCAAAGCCCUUUGGCCACAGAGACCUCAGCACCCGCAGGCAGCCUCUGAGUGCUUUGCUAUCCUCGUCCUCCGAAAGCUUUUCUCACUUGAAGCGCCCUGCCAGCGUGUGACUCCUUGUCCUGCCCACCACGGACGUCGGGCCAGUUUAUUCUCAUUGUCUUUGCACUAGCCCUCGACACGUUUGGAGACCGUUAACGUGCUUCCCUUCGUUCUUCUCUUCUCGAGAGCGUUGCUCUCCCGCCGAGGCCGGCCCCCGGCCCCCGGCCGAGUCUGGGCCGCCUGAAAGGUCUGGCUUGUUUCCCUACCAGCUUCUGCGCAGUAAAACCAAACAGACCUUCUCCUAACUGCGUUGCUUCCUGCCUUGAGCGCCGAAGGGAAACGUCCCUCGCAAGCAGAGAAAACACACAGGUCGCUUGAGACUUACAAUAAAGGCGUUAUCAAACUCGCUGUGGAGCGGUCGCUCCCACGGAGACUCUGACGGACCGCCUGGCUACCUAGCUCUGCAAAACCUGAGGACGAGUGUGCUCGCGGGAAAGCGUGGCUCUUUCCCAGCUGUAUCAGUCGCCUACUGCAGCAUGUUCCCUCUGCCCACAGCCUCCCCUGGCUGUCACCCUUGGACAGUCACAGCCACGACAACACCUCGGGGUUGUGCUCCACGGAAAGGUGUUUGUGUGAUCAAAGUGAGGGAUGGCUUUCUGCUCGGCAAACUGCAUCGCCCAGUCUUGGCGUCUCACCUGCGGCUCCCCGUUUUUUCUGGGGAUGGACACGGUGACCUAAUAACUCCUGUGCACCUCGGGGACCUUUGCAGCAGCCCGGGGUGUAGAGUCGGGUUAAUCCAGGGCAAUGAAUUGCCUGGAAAAACCAAUUCAGAGCAGUUCCUGGCUUCUCUACAUCAACACUGGCUAUUUUUUUUCACUUUGUAAAUAAAAUUUACUUUUAACAAAAAUC